AAUCCUUAAUGUAUUUGAUGGUACAGCCCAUAUCACCUUUUUUUUUUAGACGGAGUUUUGCUCUUGUUACCCAGGCUGGAGUGCAGUGACAUGAUCUCAGCUCACUGUAACCUCCACAAGGUUCAAGUGAUUCUCCUGCCUCAGCCUCCCAAGUAGCUGGGAUUACAGGCAUAUGCCACCACGCCCAGCUAAUUUUGUAUUUUUAGUAGAGACAGGGUUGCUCCAUGUUGGUCAGGCUCAUCUUAAACUUCUGGCCUCAGGUGAUUCGCCCACCUCAGCCUCCCAAAGUGCUGGGAUUACAGGCAUGAGCCACUGCAUCCGGCCUUUUUUUCUUCUUCUUCUUUGGGUAGUAUGACAUGGACCCAGUCAUUCUUUCUGGAUCCACCCCAGUACCUCUCAAAUUACAGCACUUAGAGAAUAGAAUCUAAAACUCCACUAAUGCCCUGGCCAGCUGUGGCUAUGAGAAUUGUAACUUCCUUUGUUCUAGAUUUCCUACUGCCUGAAAACAGACUAUUAUGACCUUAGUUUUCCUAGCAGCUAAGUCACAUUCAUUCUUUCAUGUUGACUUGCUAAAGACUUUUUGUUCUUCUAUUGAGAUUACUGUUCUGACAGCUUUCUUCAGGCUGCUAAUUUUUUUCAAAUACCUACAUGCAUGUCCCUGUAUUAUUUCUUAUUAGGGUUUAUUCUAGCUAGAUUCCAGCCAGUUGCCAUCUUUCUGAAUCUAGAUUCCAUCAUUGACUAGUCCUCCAAAACUUGAAAAUCUGGUCUUCUGUCUUUUUCUGAAUUUAUUCUGUGGGAUCUGGUUAUUGUUGAGCAGAAUAAGGAACCAGAUCUCAUAGAAUAAAUUCACAACUCUCCCUUUAGAUCAGGGAUUCUCAGGGUGCUCUUCUUUAUAUCUUAUUGUGAAAACAUUCAAAUAUACACCGAAAUAGAAAUAAUAGCACAAAAACACCUAUAUCUCUUCCCACUGGAGUCCACAACUAUCCUGAAUAUUUUUUGCCACAUUUAUUUCACCUAUAUAUUGUUUUGCCAAGCCAUUUUAAAAUAGACAUCAUGACAUUGUGCCACUAUAUAGUUCAAUUUGCAGUCCUUCAACACGUAAAACCAUUAUAUACCCUAACAAAAUAUGAAUAAUUCCUCAUUCUUAUAUUCACUUAGUCUACAUUCAAAUUUCCCAUUUGUCCUCAACGUGACAAUUAUGGCAGUUUGUUCAAAGCCAAGUCACAGCAAGGGUGGCAUAUUGCAUUUCUCCUCCUUUCGUCUAGAACUGUACUUCAACUUCCUUUUUCAUCACAUUAAUCUCUUGAAGAAACAAAGAUAAUUGCUUUGUAGAACGCCAAAGACCUCUUUAAAUAAUAUGCCUCUUCAUGUUGUUCGUUAUAAAUGCUGCUAUCAAAUAAAGGUCAUCUAUUAAAUAACUGUUAAUUUUCCUUUUUAAUUACAAAUUUAUACGUAACUACCAAUUAGAGAUCCUGGUAAACAUGAAAUAGCACUCUUAUCAUUUUCGGGUUGACGUGAUCACAAGGAUAAACUCAGAAUUGAUACUUUAUAAUGGUAUAACAUUGAUCAAGUUACUUAGCAUCCAUGGGUCUUUCCUGUGUUCAAUAAUGAAUCUACCUCAGCAAUACGGUUCUUAUAAGGAUUGAUACAAUAAGCAUGCAAAGUUUCUAUUUAGAAACUCUGAUCAUGGAAGCAAACACAUGUUUUCAUUUAAUAUAUGGAAAGCUGACUAAAACAAAUAUUUAUCCAAUGCACAUUGUGUGUUGGUAAAGAGGAUAGUUAGAUGAGCACAACUGAUUCCCCACCACAUGUUCAACAUUGUUAGAGAGAUCACAUUUCAUUCUCACAAUAACCCUGUGAGAUAGGUAUCAUUAUCCCUAUAAUAUGGAUGAAGAAACUGGAUCUCACAAAGUUUAAAUGACACACCCAGUUAGGAAUUGAACUUAGGUGUUUUUGAAUGCAUACCUGGAGCACCUCCCACUUCCCUACUCUGCCCCUCUGAUUUAAUAAUACCCACUCCCUGGACAAUACAAUAUCUAAGAUAUUAUAUCUACCAAUCACUACAACCUUGCUAGAGUUAAAUUAGAAGUAGCAGUUCCCUCAUUGAAAUCUUUUACCUUCUGAGGGAUACAGCUGGCUACAAACCAAACAAAGCCAAGCCUUAUCUUCGGGGAUUUCCCCAGAACGGGAAGUGCCACGCACUACUCGCUGCAGGCAGAAGCCUCUCUCCUCCCAACCUGUUAGACAUUCAGGUUUACUGGAAAUGUGUCAUGUCUUUGGAAUGGAAGGCAGGGAGGAGCCAGACAGAGCCAGGUACUGGCAUGAUACUUGCCCACCAGGAUACAUAAGGCUUGGGAGGUGGGAGGUGGCAGGUAGGAAGGCAGACUAAGACCAAGAGCAUGUGAAAGUCAGUGAGCAUGUGUUGCACCAGUCAGUCUUGGGUUUUUUGCCAGCAAUUGGAACCCAAAUAGAGGGGUUUGCGCGAGCACACGCGUGUGUACUUGGAAGUGUCAAAGGCACUUCUUACCUGUGGUAAAGCCCAGCCACUGGACAAAGCCCAAGGGUCUAGAUUCUGCCUGGGGAAGGGAGAUUGGCUAGGGCAAAAGUGGGAAGUCCGGGGAUUUUCAGUGGAGCCAUAUCAUGAUUUAUGGGGGAGAAGGAUGCACUUAGAGGUUGCAUUCAAUAUUAAAAUAUUUUACAUUCAUGCAUGUUAAAACAAAAUAUAUUUGUGUUUAUAAUACAAAAUGAUGAAAACAAAUUGGAAUAAAAUCUUCUUAGCCAGGAGGACGUGCAGAUGAACUCUAGGUAAAAACUGUUACCUUUUGCAUAGUGAUUUUUCAAGGGAGUUGUGAAAUUUCUAUGUUAAACAAAAGAGGGUGUUAGUUUCAAUAUUGAGGAAUCCUUGGAGAACAGAGGGGAAAUGAAAAAUUCUGGGAGCAGAUGUUGGUGCUGGAAGAGCAACAAGUUAGCCUAGGGCUUAUCUCUCUAUUUGGUUUAUUUAUUUCAAUAAACAUUCUCUGAAAAACCUACUAAACACCAGGCACUGUGAAAACCUACUAAGCAACAGGCAUUGUGUUGGGUGCUGUGAAUUCAACAGUGAAUGUGACCAUUUUCUGCCCUUUAGAACUUUGUGAUCUAAUUAAGCAGUAGAGGCAGGUUAACAGAUAACAAGAAAAUCUCAGAAGCGCUAUGAUAGAAGUAUACACAAGGCACUAGGAGGGAUCUCUGGCCCAAGUUCAAGGUGGGGAGGAGCAGAAAGAAUUUCUUAGACCAUAAAUCAGUUUUAAAGAGCACUUGGCACUGGAUCUAGUGCAAAGAGGCAGUCUCUGAAGCAGAGUGAUGAACCACAGUGACGACAAGUUUGGGCUCUGUACUAUGUUGGCUGAGUUCCAGGACAGAUGGGACAACCUUGGGCAAGUAACUUGUUGCUCUAGACCUUGGUUUCUUCCUCUAUUAACAUCAAGAUGGUAAGAUAGUAUUGCAGGGGGCCAACCUCCUGGCCUUAUGAAGGUUCACUGACAAAUAAGCUCAUAAACAGCAGAUUAAUUGAAGAAAAGACAUAUGCAUUUACUUUAAAUGCAUGCACAAGAAUCUUUGGAAUGAGAACCCAAAGAUAUGGGAGAAAUUAUCCAUAUUGAUGCUUAGAUUCAAAAAAGUAUGGACAGUUGUGUACAAAUAUAACUGGACAAAAAAGUUGUGAUCAAAUGCUAGUAGACUGAGUGGGGAAAUCAAGCAAGACCUGCCUGUUUGAAUUCUUCUUGGCCUCUCUGAGCAUGCAUUUCUUCCUCUGGGUGUGGGGCAGGACGUCUUUGGGGAAAGGGGGCUCUGGUUUUUAUGGCCCACCAUAGAGAAGAGGGAUUCUAGUUUCUGUGACUGGCUUCAGGGGAGAAAGGUGCUGAGAGACAGAAGGGUAGCAGAAGUUCAGAGAAAAGCUUUUACUUGUAAUGCUGCUUCUGAGGCCUUCAUUGUGGGAUAUUCUGUUCUGAACCCAGUAGCACCUACCUCGCCGGGUUGCUAUGAGGAGUUAGCAUAUAGCUCUCAAUACAUAUAAAUUAUUAAUUAAUUUAAAACGCAAUAUGGCCUGAUGGAUUUGAAAUUGUGUUUGGGGGACUUUUAAUUAGGGUGUUUUCUGUAAUUAGAAAUUCUCUUCCAAUGCUAGUCAAAGUUUUUGACUCUUCAUUUCUAGAACAUUACACAAGAGUCAGUGAAGGUCAUCUAUCAAGCAUUGACAUACAAAUUAGAAAUGUGGCAGUGUUGGCUUUAAAAGGGAGUUCAUGGUUUUCAUUAAAAGCUACCUCAGCGAAACCCAGCAUGUGCUCUCAUUCAUUUAUGUAUUUAUUCUUUCCAUAUUUUAGUUCCUAAUAUAUACCAGUACUAUGCUUUAUGGUAAUCUUACAGAGAUGAUUUAUACAUAAUACUUUUCCAUAGAAACUCACAGUCUUAGAGGGAGAGAGAGAAUCACAAUACCAUGUGAUAAUGUGACAGCAGAGGUAUGUACAAAAUGCUUUGGGGAACUCUCCCAAGUAUGGUAAUGACUAAUACUGACUGCAUAUCUGGGAAGGUUUCAUGAAGGAGGUAACCUUCUAUUAGGUCUUUAAUAAGAGUUUCCCAAGCAGAUACCUGUGGGAUGGGAAAAUUCCAGGAAGAGGAGAUUGCUUAUGUAGAGAACCAAAGCAGUGAUCAAAAUCGAUGUAUUCAUGGCAAAAAGCAUAAAAGCAUUGCGUGACAUUAACAGGGGAAUAGGUUAAAAAGGUAGAUUACGCCAGUAUGAUGUGUGGCUGUGCAAUACUUACUCUAUAGGCCAGAGAGAACUAGAGGCAUGAUCAGAACAGAUCUGAGAAAGAACAGACACUGGGAACUGAGUGGCAAGAGAGGAGAGACUAGAUAAAAGGAAAUCAGGCUUUUGCAAUAAUGCAGGCAAGGCUGGUAAUCUUGAAAGUUUCUGGCUGUAUAUAUAGUCUGGCCAUGCAGAAAGAGAACAGGACUAUAGAUGCAUUUCUAGUAGUCAUCAGUUUAAAGGUGAUACUUAAAGCUGUACAUAUCAAUGAGCCACCCCAAGGACAUGAUGUACUUGUGGGAGGAGAGGGGUCCAGUUGGGCAGGCCUGGAGAAUACCAGCAAAAAAUAAGGUAAAAAAAGACAGCAAGUUAAACUGAGAAGAAAUCAAAAGUUGUUGUCCUAGGGCAGGAAGGAGUUUAGGAGGUGAGAAGUUAUCAAUGGUGCCAAAUAACAGAGGGAAUUUCAAUAUGAAAGCAGCAAAAGGAAGUCACCAGAUUCCAUGGUUAAAAAGUUAGGGUAACCAUAGUUAAAGUAUUAGGGACUGAAGCUGGAUUGCAAUGAGUUUAAGAAAAAAGGCAGUUUGGUGAUAAGAAGGAGAGGCAAGGUUGAAGAAAAGCUAUCCUUAAAAGAGGGAGAGAUGGGAACCUAUUUGAAUCCAAGCCUGUGGACACCUAAGCACUCUACUGCUUUCUGUCUAUGAGUUGUUUUUCAAAUUAAAAAAAAGUGAAACCUCUUUUAUGGUGUAAGGAUCUCAUUGGCUGUCUUUUUUAAAAAACUGCAUCCAUGAGUGCUACCUGAAACCUCUCUGCCCACUCUACACUGGCUUUUCUCCCCGCCCUCAGCAUAUCCACAGCAGGGGCUACAGGGACUACAGGAGGAAUGAAAGAAAGCAUGCUCUCCAGCUCGAGGCCUCCUCCAGGAUCCUACCUUCUGCCUGCGCCAGUCCUCCUCACAUGUUGGCUCCCCUCCUUCCUGACCCACUUGGCUUCAUGACUUGGCUCCCACUUCUACUAUCUCUGCAGCCUCAAACUGUCUAUUUGAGCCUGGUAACAGGACCUUCUCAGCACAGCAAACUGAGGCCUGGGUGUCAUGGCCAUGGUUCCUGCUCUGGCCCCAGGACCUGCCACACAUUUGUUUAUUGUGCAUACAUUUGUUAAACCCCUACUACAAGCCAGGUACUAUUAUAGGCACUCAAAGACAUUGGUGAAGAAGGAAGUCAAAGUCCCUGUUCUUAAUGCAAUUUAUAUUUAGUAGAGGAGACAAACAAUAAAUAAACGGUGGGCAAGGCCCCCAGGUGCCCUUUCUUCCAGGAAAAGAACAAAAACGCACUCACCUUGAACCAGAACUUCAUAAACUCUCGAAGCCACUCCCUUUGAUGUGGUUCCCUAAGAGAUAAAGUCUCACUACUAUCACAUCUCUCUCUCAGGCAUUCAGACUCCAAAUGGGCAUAUGUCAUCAAUAAGUCAGAUUCUUAUUCUAUUCAGACUGACUGUAAAUUAUGAACUAGCCCUAUUUUUAGCUCCUGUAUCCCUUUUUGAUGGCUUUUCUCCCUUGUUGCAGCAAUGUAAUUCUACAUACCUAUCUGGCACACCACAUCCCCCACAUGCUAAGCUUUCCACUAAUUAGCAUAUAUUACUCAAUCUAGGAAGCUAUCAAUUAAAAGAUGAACCACUAUUGUGUGUACUUUUUUAACAAAUGUGUAAUAAGAGAAACUUCAUAGGGGACCCCUACAUAAAGCUGAGACACCAAAGAGCUAUACCCUUCAUAUAAAGGUAAAUAAGAAAUGAACUCACAGAGAGAGACAGGAAAAAAAAUCUUACAUGUCUCAGUUUUGGCUUUAGUGGAGAGAGUGGGAAGUUCUCACCUGGGAAUUUAAACUACAAGCUGGUACUCUUACUGAUGGUCUAAGUUCAUACUACUAGUGUGGCCCAAAUAUCCCCAAUCUCAGAAUUUAAUAUGAGAUUAAAGUCUCAAAGUGACUGGCAGAAGCAAAAGUAAACCCCCAGAACCAAGGCUCACGAUGCCCAGUGAGGAUUCACCUACUCUGGCAAUAAUCAAAAUCAGUCAUUUCUAAUACAAUCAAAAGAUAAUAGCCAUCUGGCCAACUUCAUUGUGUAGAAAUUUAAACUGUAGUCUCUACUCUGUGUGUUUAUUUAUUCAUUUUUGAGACCGGGUCUUACUCUGUCACCCAGGCUGGAGGGAAACUGCAUGAUCAUGACUUACCACUCCCUGGUUCAAGUGAUCCUCCUGCCUCAGCCUCCUGAGCAGUUAGGACUACAGACUAUCUAUUUCCUUACAGUGAAAAAUGAGACUAUGGACAUCUUUCAAGAUUUAUGUCUUAUAGUUUUUGGCUGCUUGUGAUCUCAAGCCCAAAGAUCUAGAAGGCACCAGACCCAACUUGGAAGCAUGCCCUACCAUCAAGUAAUCAAUUAUAAUCAUUGGGAUGGGACUAAAUAAGAACUCCAAAAGGACAUAGUUUUCAAAGGUUAUCUUCAUUGAGGAACCACACAACUGCCUCAGAAAAGCAAAAACAGAUGUCCAUUUCAAGUUCUGCUUAAAAGCAUGUCAGGAGUCACAGUCUCCAGCGACUCAGGUCUUUGAUGCUGUUACCUAAUCCUACUUUAUUUCCUGCAAGCAACCACAGAACCAACUCUGAUCCUCAACAGGAAAUUCUGAGCAUUCACCAUUUCAGAUCCUUUUAAGCUGAUUAUGGUUCUUAGAGGUGUACACAGGUGAAAGCAGAUCUCCUUCCUUCUGCAGACGUGGAACUAUGGAAAGCAAGUGAGGACUCUCAUUUUACAGAACAGGAAAAUUGAAUUAUCAUUUCACAGAAGGGCUGAUUCAUUUAUACAUCUCUGCUAAUGUCUGAAGAAACUGGUAGCUCAAGAUGGGCACAGGACCCAGACCCAUGAUCACUGUGAAUGCUUUCUGAACAAUGGCAAUACCAACCACAGAUCAACUCCGUCACUGGGCACUGCUCAGAUGUGCAACUCCUGGCCUCUGAGCAAUAUGUGCUUUGUUUUCUACUUUGUGGCCAAUUUUAAACCUUAAUGUGGGGAGCAAAAAUUAUUUUUUUCCCUGUUGGACAAUCUUCAAAAAACUGGUAAAAAUACAAGGGGCCCUUGCUACCUGGACCAGGAUCUGAGGAAUGGCUCCUUCCCUAGGAGAGGACACUGGAACAAAUUGCCUUUUACCAGGCUGACGCAGCCCCUGUAAAGCUCUUAGUGAGGACCUAAAAAGCAGUUUAAUACAGCCUUAGGGCCCCUAAGAGUCAGUGGGCUUUCCAACUGAUUAUGUCUCUCCAGGGGCCAUCAUCCUCCCACUUAAACCAUUCUGAUUAGUUAGCUUAAAAUCCCCCUAUUCUGAAACACUUUCUCCCCUAAUUCCUCAGUGAAGUCUUCUUCAGUCCCCAGUUCUAGGGGAGCCCUAACUUGCCUUUAAAUUUUGAGAGCUUUAUUGUCACCUGGGUAUUAAAGAGCUUCUGUUUGAGAAGCAGGCUGUCACUUCUGUCUAGGUCAGGCUUUUCUUCACAGCAGGCUGUUAGCCAAAAAUUCCUGAGCCUCUGCUGGAGGAACCCCAGGUAACCCUGACACUGCUGCUGUGUUUGUUCCAGCAAAUCUUUACUGAGAGCCCUUCUGUAAGUCAAACUUGAUGUAGACCAAGAAGAUAUACUAGUGAUUCAAACAAUUAUUCCUGCCCUCACAGUGCAUACAUUCUAGCAGAUAUAAAUACAUUAAUUUUAAUAUGUGUAUUAGGAGGGGAUUAUUGCUGUGGAGAAAAGCAAGGCUGGGAUAAAGUAGCUAAGGAGACUGAUGGUGGGGCCUUAGGGAUUCAAAUCAGAUGUGGGUCACUGGGUAGGAUUAUCUUUUGGCCUGAAUUAUCACUGCUCUCCUGGCCCUUAGUCCCUAUGCUUUUACCAGGAGUGCCCCCUUUUCUUCAUUAAAUAAGAGAUGGGGUCUCACUAUGUUGCCCAGACUGGUCUCAAACUCCUGGCCUCUAGCCAUUUUCCUGUCUUGGCCUCCCAAAGUGCUGCUUCAAAGCAUGAGCCACUGUGCUUGGCCCCAAGAAUACCUCUUAAUGCCUCCCUCUCUUCCUUUGAUUCUUCUGUUCCUCUCACUUUCUCCACCACCAAAAAUUGUGCCUUCUCCUCUAUCCACCAAAUCCUCCUGAUCUUUAAGGACCAGCUCAAGCUACAGCCUUUGCCCCACUCUUCUGAUUACUCCCUUCUCUGAGCUCCGUGUAAAGCAUUAAGCCACACACAUCAUAUUUGAUCUUGUCUUCCAUUGUUUCCUAAGUGCUUCUAUAUCUUUCUCAACUGAUUAAAAGCUGUGACAGGGCCAGGUGCGGUGGCUCAAGCCUGUAAUCCCAGCACUUUGGGAGGCCGAGGCGGGUGGAUCACGAGGUCAAGAGAUGGAGACCAUCCUGGUCAACAUGGCAAAACCCCGUCUCUACUAAAAAUACAAAAAGUUAGCUGGGCAUGGUGGCGCGCGCCUGUAAUCCCAGCUACUCAGGAGGCUGAAGCAGGAGAAUUGCCUGAACCCAGGAGGUGGAGGUUGCUGUGAGCUGAGAUAGCACCAUUGCACUCCAGCCUGGGUAACAAGAGCGAAACUCCGUCUCAAAAACAAAAACAAAAACAAAAAAAACAGUGUUUCGCAUACUGUAAGUGCUAUGUGUUUGAUAUUUGACGUAAAUAAUUACUAAGCCUUAGCUAUUAUUCUUUCUUUCUUUCCCUUGGUCCUAUUUCUUUCUUCCCAAAGCUACCAUCCACUCUUUUGUUUCCUUUCUUCACCAAAUUUUUCAAAAGGACAGCCUGUAAUGCAAACUCUCCACUGACUGCUUCCAUUUUCUCUUGUCCCUUUCACUCCUCAACCCACUAGAAUAUUGAAAGUUGCCAAUGGCCUCUUAAGCUUCUAAUCCAAAUUUUCAUUUCCUUUCAUUUGACAUCAGUAUCCAACUUGGAAUUUCUUCUUUUGCUUUUCUUGCCAGUUCAGCUUCUCCUCAGCCAACUCCUUUCCUUUCCCAAGAGACUCCAUCCCAAGGGCUCUCUCGAGUUUGUUCUUAUACUGCACCCUCUUCCAUUGGUGUUAUUCACACUCCUAUCUUCAAUUACUGCCUACAUUCCAUUGAUUCUCAUACCUACUGACAUUUUUCCCUGAGCCCCAGCCCCUAAAUUUGAUCAGUUAUACAGAUUGAUGCCAUGUCAAAUACUCUUCUUCUAAUUAGGGUUCAUCUGUCUUCUAGGUUCUAAAUCUAGAAGAUUUAGAACAGGUACAUCUUCUCCUUGUCAUGUAUUGCUUCAAAUCUCUAUUUUGGCACCCAGUCACAAACACCAGAAACCUUAGGGCCUUUGUGAUCCUGCAUCUGGAUGUGCCUUUGCAUUUCACACAUUAGUUUUCACGUCCCUUAGCUCAUUUACUCCUCACAAUGACCCUAAGAGCAUUACUUGAUUAAGCGAUUUUGUAAGGUUUAAUUUGAAUGAAUUGUUUUGUUCCCAGACUAACAAAGUAAACACAUUUUCCAAUUCUUUUAAGAAAGAGUAAAAUAACUCCUGUUUACAGAGGAAGAAAAUAAAGUUUAUAGAGGUUAACAAAUUUUUCUAAGAAGUUGUAAGGGUUAAAUGAAAUAGUACAUGUUGUGAAACUUCCUAUACCUUAAAACAUCAUGUAAAUGUAAAGUUUUCUUGAUUAUUAACAUAAUGCUAAAUUACUGGUGAUGCAGCUAAUUUGGUAAAUGUAUUAAGAAAAGUAUUAAGUGUACAGAAAUACAGAGGUGAGGGAAAUCAGUUUAGUUAGGGAUGAUAAGGAUCUUGGAAGGAGAGUAGGCUUUUAAUAGAUGGAGAGAAUGAUGGAGGACCAGCUUCUCCAUGUCUCAUUCUAGUCUACCACCUUUAUAUCUGUCCUUAAUACAAAGCUGAUUUGAGUGAUCUUUUCUUAGCACUUCUAGGUAAUGGCUGGAGGUUUCCUCUAAAUGCAAUAGAUAAAUGCAAGGCACCUCUUAUAAGAACAUUAGGACACUAACUCAAAGGUCACCUUCUUCCGAGGGAGUAAAAGCCAUCCAAGCUGCCUGCAGAAGCUCAUACCAUACCAUCCUGCAUGUGGACAAGGAACUCACGGGAACAGGGAACAUAGGAAACGAGAGAGUGUGAAGGACAAUGAACUGCAGAGCCUAACUGGCGCAUGGACUUAGCCAAAGCAGAUCCUUUAAAGAUUUACAGACUGACACACUCUAAUAUCACAUCAUCUUCCUGUGGAAAAUAAAGAGCAGGAAUUAUUUGAUCCAUACAACGAUCUUUACAAUUCAGGCCUCAAAACAGGAUGAUGUCUGACUAACAAUGGAAAAGUAGGUCUUCCUCAAUUAUCCAGGUAAAUGCUUAAGUUUAUAGAAUCAACAGAUAGUUCUAAAAUAGACAUAUAAAUAACAGAGAAAAGAAGAAUACAUAAGGCAAGGAAAAUAAUGCAUUUUGUACAUUAGAUAUUUCUUAAAGCAGGUACUACAGGGAGCAUUCCAGUAUACUUUUAUAUUCUAAAAUAAAAAAGUAAUCCAUAGGAAAACAUUUAUCCUUUGCUUCAUGUCUCUAUUUCUUUUUUAA
Callithrix jacchus (white-tufted-ear marmoset) is the source of this 11367-nucleotide non-coding RNA. NCBI's taxonomy places the organism in Eukaryota, Metazoa, Chordata, Mammalia, Primates, Cebidae. The record is from RefSeq and is a predicted model, not a curated record.